RNAcentral lists this microRNA precursor (84 nucleotides) under Bombyx mori (domestic silkworm). Its description in RNAcentral is "mir-2807 microRNA precursor family". It matches the Rfam family "mir-2807 microRNA precursor family". Lineage: Eukaryota; Metazoa; Arthropoda; Insecta; Lepidoptera; Bombycidae. The record is from Rfam by way of RNAcentral.
UUAAAGUUAACUCGUAUGGCGUUGGAACGUUUGCCUACAUUUGCUGCUAGGGGUGCUGUUCCAACUGCAUACAAAUUUGUGUUA